GGGGAAUAUUGGACAAUGGGCGCAAGCCUGAUCCAGCCAUACCGCGUGGGUGAAGAAGGCCUUCGGGUUGUAAAGCCCUUUUGUUGGGAAAGAAAAGCAGUCGGUUAAUACCCGAUUGUUCUGACGGUACCCAAAGAAUAAGCACCGGCUAACUACGUGCCAGCAGCCGCGGUAAUACGUAGGGUGCGAGCGUUAAUCGGAAUUACUGGGCGUAAAGCGUGCGCAGGCGGUUGAUUAAGACAGGCGUGAAAUCCCCGGGCUUAACCUGGGAACUGCGCUUGUGACUGGUCGGCUAGAGUACGGCAGAGGGGGGUGGAAUUCCACGUGUAGCAGUGAAAUGCGUAGAGAUGUGGAGGAACACCGAUGGCGAAGGCAGCCCCCUGGGCCGAUACUGACGCUCAUGCACGAAAGCGUGGGUAGCAAACA
This 426-nucleotide ribosomal RNA is filed under the name uncultured beta proteobacterium. Its description in RNAcentral is "bacterial SSU rRNA". It matches the Rfam family "Bacterial small subunit ribosomal RNA", at positions 356 to 774 of the family's 1533-position model. The record is from RNAcentral. Lineage: Bacteria; Pseudomonadati; Pseudomonadota; Betaproteobacteria.